Molecule: long non-coding RNA, 1410 nt
Organism: Anguilla anguilla (European eel)
Lineage: Eukaryota; Metazoa; Chordata; Actinopteri; Anguilliformes; Anguillidae
Exons: 2
Source: RefSeq, a predicted model, not a curated record
UAUGUGUGUGUGUGUGUGUGUGUGUGUGUGUGUGUUUCUGUUCUCCAGCAUAUCCAUUGCCUUGCUGUGCAGUUUCUUGCUGGGGCUGGGGGACAGCUGCUUUAACACCCAGCUCUACAGCAUCCUGGGCUGUGUGUACGGAGAGGAAAGUGCACCUGCCUUCACCAUCUUCAAAUUCAUCCAGUCCAUAUGUGCAGCCCUGGCCUUCUUCUACAGUGGAUACCUGCUCCUCUCGUGGCAGCUGCUGCUCAUGGUGCUGCUAGGAUUUGUGGGAACUCUCUGCUUCUUCCUGGUGGAGAAGAUUCAGAACCUGACCGAAGCCUUGGAACAACCGUAACCGUCCCGGACAUCUCAUCCCAUCCGUUCACUUUCCGUUAUACGGGGCCAAAAUUUGGUAUCGUCUCAAAAGAAGGAUAUGCACUAUUUUAUAUCAGCUUUAAAUGAAGUAACUCAGUGCAAUACACAAAUAAUAUUAUUAUACGAGUUAUUUAUGUGUUAAGCAAACGGUCACUUGAGAAAGACUGUACAUUUCAGUUUAAUCUUUGUACAUUUCAGUUUAAUCUUUGUUAGGCUCAUCAUGCUGGCCUUCCUUGUACAUUUUUCUCAGGGCUGUAUAAGAAUCAUGACCUUUCUGCACCAGAGACAGCUUUAUGCUCUAAUAGUUCUUUAACGUCAGAUAUUAUUGGGACAAUCACAUAAUAAAAAUUAUACUGUGUGCAGGAAGAUAUUUUUUACUUUAAUGGAUUUUGACAGUUAUGGUAAUUUAUGAUUGUACUUAGCAGGUAAGUUAUGGAUAUGUCCAGCUAUGAAAGAUGAAAGUCAGUUUGGCACCAAAGACACCUGACAGUAAUGGAGGCAAAUUCACUAUGAAUUCACUGUUAAAUUCCUUUUAAUUACUCCAGGAAAAUACAUUCUGAGGUUCUGCCGAUUUUUACCAGUGCAAUUGCUAUAUACAAGACUUCAUAACUUCACAAUGAUAACUUUACUACAUAAUAAUACAUUUCACUACAACAAUCAGUACCAUUUCAAAAAAAAAAAAAAACGCAAAAAUAAAGGAACAUUGUUCGCAGUUCUUUUACACAAGGUCACAAGGUCAAUGUAAUAUCACAACUUAUGCCAUUUGUUUUUGUUCACUGUAAUGCUACAAGUCUAGAUCAGAGUGAACAUUUAAAAAAUGUUUGUUAGUUAUGCUUAUUUUUAUGACAGUAUAGAGAGCUUCUUAAAGUGUGACCAAAAUAACAUUUUAAUUUUGUGUUUCGUUUGUUUAAUCAACUGACAUUGGCCUAGAUGGCUUAUUUGUGUUUAUUCAUGUUAGUGUUUUGUAAUACUGACAUUGGUGUUUUUUAUUGUGUUUUUUUGUGUAUUUUUACACUUUUAUAUUGGAAUAAAGAUGUAUGCCAUUUAUUUAAA